RNAcentral lists this ribosomal RNA (373 nucleotides) under Bothus podas (wide-eyed flounder). RNAcentral's name for it is "partial 12S small subunit ribosomal RNA". It matches the Rfam family "Bacterial small subunit ribosomal RNA", at positions 864 to 1402 of the family's 1533-position model. The record is from RNAcentral. Lineage: Eukaryota; Metazoa; Chordata; Actinopteri; Pleuronectiformes; Bothidae.
UUAAUCCGCCUGGGAAUUACGGACACCAGUCUAAAAACCAAAGGACUUGGCGGUGCUUUAUAUCCACCUAGAGGAGCCUGUUCUGUAACCGAUAAUCCCCGUUUAACCUCACCCUCCCUUGCUUUAUCCACCUAUAUACCGCCGCCGCCAGCUUACCCUGAGAAGGACAAGUCGUAUGCAAAAUUGACACAGCCCAAGACGUCAGGUCGAGGUGUAGUUAAUGGGAGGGGAAGAAAUGGGCUACAUUUGCUGAACUGAAGCAAACACGGAUGUUCCAUUGAAACAUGGGACUGAAGGAGGAUUUAGUUGUAAGCGGGAAGCAGAGCGUCCCGCUGAAAUCGGCCCUGAAGCGCGCACACACCGCCCGUCAACC